UGAGGAAUAUUGGUCAAUGGGCGAGAGCCUGAACCAGCCAAGUAGCGUGCAGGAUGACGGCCCUAUGGGUUGUAAACUGCUUUUGUAUGGGGAUAAAGUCAAUCACGUGUGAUUGUUUGCAGGUACCAUACGAAUAAGGACCGGCUAAUUCCGUGCCAGCAGCCGCGGUAAUACGGAAGGUCCGGGCGUUAUCCGGAUUUAUUGGGUUUAAAGGGAGCGUAGGCUGGAGAUUAAGUGUGUUGUGAAAUGUAGACGCUCGACGUCUGACUUGCAGCGCAUACUGGUUUCCUUGAGUACGCACAACGUUGGCGGAAUUCGUCGUGUAGCGGUGAAAUGCUUAGAUAUGACGAAGAACUCCGAUUGCGAAGGCAGCUGACGGGAGCGCAACUGACGCUGAAGCUCGAAGGUGCGGGUAUCGAACAGGAUUAGAUACCCUGGUAGUCCGCACAGUAAACGAUGGAUGCCCGCUGUUGGUACCUGGUAUCAGCGGCUAAGCGAAAGCAUUAAGCAUCCCACCUGGGGAGUACGCCGGCAACGGUG
This 540-nucleotide ribosomal RNA is filed under the name uncultured bacterium. RNAcentral describes it as "bacterial SSU rRNA". It matches the Rfam family "Bacterial small subunit ribosomal RNA", at positions 355 to 896 of the family's 1533-position model. The record is from RNAcentral.